AAUUAAUAUUUGGGUUUAUUUGGUCCGUCAAUUUACAAGCAACCCAAAUUUUUACCUUAAAUUACUGAUCGAACAAAUAUAUCAGAUUAAUUAAAUUCAUUUAUAGGGAAAAAGAAUAAUCAAAUACCAUUUCCACGGUUUCUUGCUCUCGCGCUUCAUGAUAAUGUCUGUACGCUCUCCUCUCGUCGUCAUCGCAAGCUUGAUGCAAUCUACCAUUGCCAAGCACAGCGUCAUCGUUCCUGUCCAAGAUGACGCCCAGUUCGUCGCCAUUCAAGAAUCCAUCUUCGCCAACAAGCGGAAAAUGGGCGUCCCAGAAAUUCAAGAAACUGCCAAGAACCAGGACGACGGGCAGGUCCAAUGUGGGCUCAACAUUCAAGUUAUCGACGAUACUGCAUUGAUCGAUCCUUCCCUUGUUGGGAAUGGGAGGAUUGGCAGGAAUGAUCAAGAAAGUGAAAAGGAGAAGAAGCCUAAACGUAGGGGAGGGAAAGCUAGGAGAAAGAAGGAAGCUUUGAACGGACGCGUUGAGACUCAGGCCUCGCUUGACAAGAAAGGGAAGAAGAGAUUGGUUGUGGAGUAUUCGAGGAAGGAGAUGGAGGCUCUGAGGUUCAAGGAUUUGGAAGAUCAGAAGAAGAAGUGGGCUGAGGUGUAUAGCGGGCUUGGGGCGUUCGUGGCGCAAGAGUACGAUGGGCUGGUGAAUUCUGUUAACAUUCAUCAGAAGCAGAGGGUCCCGGGUUUCGAGUUUGAUCCGAGGUCCCGCUUCCAGAAAUCUGCUAAUUUGGGUUGGAUUACCUGUGAAGGUGUCCCUUUUGUCUUCAUGAUGUUUGUUUAACUACCAGCUCUAAAUGUGAAGAGAUUCAUCGUUCCGUCUACAGAGAUGUUGCAUAUUAGCUCUAAGUAAAGAUGCCGUGGAUGCAAUGGGAAGAGGAAACCAUCUGAGAAUCUUUGCCCACUGAAGAACUGUCUCUUCACAUUUGUGAAAAUACCAAAAAUAUAUAAACUACGACUGCUGCAUAGAACAGUUGAGGAUGCUUUUGCUGCUUAUAUCCGACGCGGGAAUGCGUAUUGGAUCGUCUUUUUUACUAGUUUAGCUCCUUGGAACUAUUGGGAUGUAGGAUAGUGAAUAAGUGUAUAGCUCAAGAAUGAGAAAUUGACACAUUUGUGUUUGUAGAUGUGAGGGGUUAUAGAUUAGAUGCCUUUGAAUUGUAAGUUGAGCAAAAGGUGAUGUAUAUUUUGUUGAUUUUUGGAAUCCAUGUUCAUAGUUAUUGAUUUAAUAAUAUAGAGAUUAUUCACCCCCAA
Sesamum indicum (sesame) is the source of this 1296-nucleotide RNA transcript. RefSeq lists it as uncharacterized. NCBI's taxonomy places the organism in Eukaryota, Viridiplantae, Streptophyta, Magnoliopsida, Lamiales, Pedaliaceae. The record is from RefSeq and is a predicted model, not a curated record.